AUGACAUCGAUAUUUGAAUUGUUUUCUACUCAAAUUCAAGCCCAUGCACGCAGGGGCGGAGCAGUUUUUUCAGAAACAUUGGGAUAUUUGUGGAGAAGCAGUCACCAAGGUGGUGUUGAGAAUUGUUCAAGGAGUGGAGAGUGCGCUGGAAAUAAACAACACCGUUUUGGUUUUGAUCGCAAAGGUAAAAACCCAACACUUCUAACCCAAUUUCGUCCAAUAAGCCUAUGCAAUGUACUUUAUAAAAUAGCAUCGAAGGUGGUAGCAAAUGGUCUGAAGGUUGUGCUACCUGAUAUUAUCUCGAAGGAUGUAUGCCACCAUCUUCAAGUCCUCUCGAGGGUGCCUCCUUGGGUUCCUGCCUGCUACCCAGACGAGGCACGCAGGAGGAGCUGCUGCAAACCUCCAUGCCCAGGUGCUGCUCCUGGACCAUUGUACGUGUAUGUGUUUCUUCGCCAGCGUGUUCUGCUUGCUGCCCGUCCUCUUUGUCACCGGCGCAGCCACCGGCCGGAUAGGCAAGGGUACGUGUGUGUGUGUGCGAGGGCGCCCGCGAUGGCCACGGCCUCGCGUCUUGACGUGUGUUGCCACCAUAGCGGCGAGCGCAUCACUCCUUUGGCCUCCGUGAUCUCCUUGCCGCACGUGUUGCGUCGUGGUUGCCCUUCAACCCCUCAAUGCGCAUCGCUCAUCUGCAUGUCGAAGCUGCCGCCAUCGGGCGCGUCUUCUCUUCGUGCGUACCUCCUUCCCGCUGCUGCGUCCUGCGUACGUGAGCUCCGCCCCUCCCUGAACCCUGGAAAAACAAUGACAAAGAAAACACAUGUACUAGGAGGAAGAGGGUGA
Molecule: ribosomal RNA, 834 nt
Filed under: Triticum aestivum (bread wheat)
Lineage: Eukaryota; Viridiplantae; Streptophyta; Magnoliopsida; Poales; Poaceae
Description: partial small subunit ribosomal RNA
Source: RNAcentral